UUUCCGUAGGUGAACCUGCGGAAGGAUCAUUACAGAGUUCAUGCCCUCACGGGUAGAUCCCCCACCCUUGAAUAUUUAUACCUUAGUUGCUUUGGCAGGCCGUGGAAACACCAUGGGCUCCGGCUUAUGCGUGCCUGCCAGAGGAAACAAACUCUGUUUUUAGUGAUGUCUGAGUACUAUAUAAUAGUUAAGACUUUCAACAACGGAUCUCUUGGUUCUG
This 220-nucleotide unclassified non-coding RNA is filed under the name plant metagenome. Its description in RNAcentral is "partial contains small subunit ribosomal RNA, internal transcribed spacer 1, and 5.8S ribosomal RNA". The record is from RNAcentral.